CCUGGUUGAUUCUGCCAUUAGUCAUAUGCUUGUCUCAAAGAUUAAGCCAUGCAUGUCUAAGUAUAAGCAACUUUGUACUGUGAAACUGCGAAUGGCUCAUUAAAUCAGUUAUAGUUUAUUUGAUGGUUUUUGCUACAUGGAUAACUGUGGUAAUUCUAGAGCUAAUACAUGCAUUCAAGCCCCGACUUCUGGAAGGGGUGUAUUUAUUAGAUAAAAAUCAACUUUGUUGGUGAAUCAUAAUAACUUCUCGGACCGCAUGGCCUCGUGCUGGCGGUGCUUCAUUCAAAUAUCUGCCCUAUCAACUGUCGAUGGUAGGAUAGAGGCCUACCAUGGUUGCAACGGGUAACGGGGAAUAAGGGUUCGAUUCCGGAGAGGGAGCCUGAGAAACGGCUACCACAUCCAAGGAAGGCAGCAGGCGCGCAAAUUACCCAAUCCCAACACGGGGAGGUAGUGACAAUAUGUAACAAUAUACGGCCUUAUACGUCGUAUAAUUGGAAUGAGUACAAUUUAAAUCCCUUAACGAGGAACAAUUGGAGGGCAAGUCUGGUGCCAGCAGCCGCGGUAAUUCCAGCUCCAAUAGCGUAUAUUAAAGUUGUUGCAGUUAAAAAGCUCGUAGUUGGACCUUGGACCUGGACAGGCGGUCCGCCUCACGGCGAGUACUGUCUUGCUGGGUCUUUCCUCUUGGUGAUCUGUUGUUUCGGCAGCAGGGAACCAGGACCUUUACUUUGAAAAAAUUAGAGUGUUCAAAGCAGGCUCGACGCCGGAAUAUAUUAGCAUGGAAUAAUAAAAUAGGACGUGCGGUUCUAUUUUGUUGGUUUUUGGAAUCGCCGUAAUGAUUAAUAGGGACAGUCGGGGGGCAUUAGUACUCACAUGCUAGAGGUGAAAUUCUUGGAUUUUGUGAAGACUAACUUCUGCGAAAGCAUUUGCCAAGGAUG
Molecule: ribosomal RNA, 935 nt
Filed under: uncultured fungus
Lineage: Eukaryota; Fungi
Description: SSU rRNA
Rfam family: Eukaryotic small subunit ribosomal RNA
Source: RNAcentral